CAGCGCUCCCAAACCUCCCGUCCAAACGGUUGAGCGGAGAGCUAGGACACAGGUGUGGGUGUGUUUGGCAUGUGCUGGAGGCGUGAUGCAGGUGCACAUGUGCCAAUUUGGGGCCGUCUAAGCUGGAGGUGGACGCAGAAUCAACAGAUUAAAAUGUCACAAAAGGUACCGUGCAACGUGCAAAACACAAAAUGAAGUCUACGAUUUGAAGCAGAAUCAGCAGAUGAGACAGAAACGAAAGGCACCAUGUAAAUUUUUGACGAUCUGCAGUGCCUUUAUGGCGUCUGAGACACAGGAGUAAUUGUGUCCUCUGUUGGAGAUGGAUUUGCAUGCUUUAACUUAUGCAGCGUGACUCGCCUCGCUCUCGUACACAAACUCUGACACACACACGCGCUUGCAUUGACUGUUAAACGCUGCUGAGUUCUCACCUACUCGCUCUCAACCCCCCUCUGUUCCACUCGCACGCUCUUAACAAUUGAAACAGACCACAUCUAUUUCCUCCUUUUCAAGCAAAUGUGGACAGGUGGUUUCAUAGACCGGCCCGAAUGCCAGAUAACCUGUGCAGAAAGAAGCCAGAAUUACAUUUGUUAGAACAUGUGACCUAAACGGCCCAAUGGUGCUUGGAUGCUUUUUCCCCCCCCCCCAAUUGUGGGGAACGGUUAAACUUGUCUGACUGAGGGAGAAGCUUUCUGUGGGCCGCCACAACCACAAACCAAGUCUGCGACCGGUCACGGCUCUCUAGGCACUAGAAAACAGCGAGAUAAAGAUAGACGAGAGGGACUCGAGAGGGGGAGGGAGAAAACGUGUUGAUGUCAGCGUGUGAAUCAGCCAAAUCGCCGAAAUAAACCACAGUGCCGCGUUUGCGCUCCGGCUCUUUUGCACAAGGGUAAGCAUCAGUCAACCACAGGCUGACCGCCGA
Sinocyclocheilus grahami is the source of this 919-nucleotide long non-coding RNA. The record is from Ensembl. Lineage: Eukaryota; Metazoa; Chordata; Actinopteri; Cypriniformes; Cyprinidae.